UACAGAGGGUGCAAGCGUUGUUCGGAAUUAUUGGGCGUAAAGCGCGUGUAGGCGGCUUUGCAAGUCGGGUGUGAAAGCCCUCAGCUCAACUGAGGAAGUGCGCCCGAAACUGCAGAGCUUGAGUACCGGAGAGGGUGGCGGAAUUCCCCAAGUAGAGGUGAAAUUCGUAGAUAUGGGGAGGAACACCCGUGGCGAAGGCGGCCCACUGGGCCGGUGCUGACGCUGAGGCGCGAAGGCGUGGGGAGCGAACGGG
Molecule: ribosomal RNA, 253 nt
Filed under: uncultured bacterium
Lineage: Bacteria
Description: partial 16S ribosomal RNA
Rfam family: Bacterial small subunit ribosomal RNA
Source: RNAcentral